GUGGGGAAUUUUGGACAAUGGGGGCAACCCUGAUCCAGCCAUCCCGCGUGUGCGAUGAAGGCCUUCGGGUUGUAAAGCACUUUUGGCAGGAAAGAAAUCGCACGGGAUAAUACCUCGUGUGGAUGACGGUACCUGCAGAAUAAGCACCGGCUAACUACGUGCCAGCAGCCGCGGUAAUACGUAGGGUGCAAGCGUUAAUCGGAAUUACUGGGCGUAAAGCGUGCGCAGGCGGUCCGGAAAGAAAGAUGUGAAAUCCCAGGGCUUAACCUUGGAACUGCAUUUUUAACUACCGGGCUAGAGUGUGUCAGAGGGGGGUGGAAUUCCGCGUGUAGCAGUGAAAUGCGUAGAUAUGCGGAGGAACACCGAUGGCGAAGGCAGCCCCCUGGGAUAACACUGACGCUCAUGCACGAAAGCGUGGGGAGCAAACAGGAUUAGAAACCCCGGUAGUCC
Molecule: ribosomal RNA, 450 nt
Filed under: uncultured bacterium
Lineage: Bacteria
Description: partial 16S ribosomal RNA
Rfam family: Bacterial small subunit ribosomal RNA
Source: RNAcentral